Molecule: long non-coding RNA, 2216 nt
Organism: Neoarius graeffei (lesser salmon catfish)
Lineage: Eukaryota; Metazoa; Chordata; Actinopteri; Siluriformes; Ariidae
Exons: 2
Source: RefSeq, a predicted model, not a curated record
UGUGUGUGUGUGUGUGUGUCUUUCUGUAAUAUUUGUCAAGCUUUUCUGUUGCUCUGUGUUGAUGACUAUUCGUAAAUAUAUCCUUGAUUAGGCCGUAAAUCAAAAUGCUGCAACGAUUGAGUUUAAUGCUGUUUUAUCUGCAACAAGCCAAGACAUUCAGACUUUCAUAUAAUGUGGAGAAUUUUUUCUCCCCUUUUCCUUGACAGGUUGGUGGUCACCGGUUUCAAUUAACAAACCUUCAUGCGUAGCUUUCAUAAUACCAUGCAUUCAAACAUCGACGAAUCAAGAUACGCAAUCUUAAUUUGAGAGAAACACAAACAAGAACCUGUGAAGGCACUUUGGCUCGAGAACCUUUUGCUGAUUUUGAACAGUGACACCACUUUGAUCAGGAACCACUGAAACACGAGUUUUCUCCCCAAUCAUGAGAUAAAUUACAAAAGAUGUGAAAUCCAUUGAAAGAUUUUUUUUUAAACACAUCUCGGUAACCUAGUCAAGAAAUAAAAUGCAGUUAUUUGCUGUUAUACUUUCACUGUCCACUUUAUUAGGAACAGCUGUACACCUGCACGUUCAUGCAGUUAUCUAAUCAGCCAAUCAUGUGGCAGGCAGCACAAUGCAUACAGAGGGUUAGUCUGUGUCCAUGAUGGCCUCAGAUUCCUUUCCUUGGUUGACAGGAGUGGAAGCUGAUGUGGCCUUCUGCUCUUGUCGCUCAUUCACCUCAAGGUUUGAUGGGUUGUGUGUUCUGAGAUGCUUUUCUGCUCACCACGGUUGUAGAGUGACUAUUUGAGUUACUAUGUUCUUCCUGGCAGCUUGAACCAAUCUGUCCAUUUUCCUCUGAUCUCUCUCAUCAGCGAGGCGUUUCCACCCACAGAUCUGUCGCUCGUUCAGUGUUUUUAGUUUUUUUCACCAUUCUGUGUAAACUCUACAGGCUGUUUCUGUGAAAAUCCCAGGAGAUCAGCAGUUUAUGAAAAACUCAAACUUCUGGUACCAACAUCCAAGCCACGAUUAAAGUCUCAGACGUCACACUUUUCCCCCUUUCUGAUGUUUGAUGCAAACAUUAACUGAAGCUCUUGACCUGUAUCUGCAGGAUUUUAUACAUUGCACUGCUGCCACAUGAUUGGCUGAUUGAGAUAACUACAGGAAUGUACAGGUGUUCCUAAUAAAGUGGACAGUGGGGAGUAUUUGUUAUCAUGUGCAAAGCACAUCCCAAAACAACAAAACUGUUGUUUUGGGAUGAACAAAACUGACUUCAAAGUGCGACUUGUCACAAAAGCAAGAAACUGAAAAGUGCAAAGCCGUCCAUUCGAAAGACAUUCCCAUGUCAGAAAACUGAACAUUACAGCUUGACUUCUGAAUGUACAAAAACGAACGCUAAAGACUCCUUCCAUAAAUAUUCAAUCAGUGUCUCCUGACAGAAAACAUGACCAUAUCGACAUGUCCAAACCCUUUUUUAAAAAUCCAUUCAUGUGCAUGUUACUACAGAAAAACAACAUAUUAGAACAAGCACCUUGUAGCCAGAACUGAUGUUAUAGAAACAAAUCGACAUCAUCUGACCAAACAGAGUUGAGAAUUCAACAGCACUGUGGGAUGAAAUGAAAUAAGUGUCAGGAUAUUACAUUAAAUAUACCCACUUUGGCCAUUUUAAAUGUUAACGUUUCCAUUUAACGAGAGCCGAAGCUGAUGUAAUGUUGGAAAACAUGUUGCAUGAGACUAGCACUGGAAAAUUCCAUGCUUCAUAUUCAGUAUGUCGAGUCCACUUUUAAUCCUUUACACUGUAUAGAGUGUGUAAGUUGUGGUGUACAUCAUCUGUAAACUGAUACGUAUGUACUUUCUGUUCUUAUUCUCAUCAUGUACAAAUGUGUGUGUAUGUGUACAGUAAUAGAUGGCCUGAGGUUGACCGAGAUGUUCUACCAUGAGACAGAUAUGGAGGAUGACAGCAUGGUAAACACUGCCUUGACGUUUGUGUUCCUCUUCCUCAUCACCCUCUUCUACAGCAUCGGAGUGACUGUUAUCAAGGUGAAAUGAAGACAGAAACUGUGCAGAAACGAGUUUGGUUUUCUCUCUGUUUCUUCAUGAUACUGUUCUGAGUUAUACUUUCUGCUGUUGCCUACUCGCCUACUUUCCACGUAUUUUAUAUCUGUAAAUACCUUUUGGACAUUUAAAUGUUGGACUUUUUUCAUGCUUUUACUCAAAUCUCAAAUAAAGGUCUUUGAAAAAUA